Melanotaenia boesemani (Boeseman's rainbowfish) is the source of this 169-nucleotide long non-coding RNA. RefSeq lists it as uncharacterized. NCBI's taxonomy places the organism in Eukaryota, Metazoa, Chordata, Actinopteri, Atheriniformes, Melanotaeniidae. The record is from RefSeq and is a predicted model, not a curated record. The transcript is spliced from 2 exons.
GAUCAUGUGAAGUAUUCUGUAUAAGGUGGUAUGCAGACAUGGACCGGUGCUGUAUUUUACAAUAUAUAAAUCGAAGCUUAUGAAGGAAAACGGCCAGCAGGGCAGGUGGAACAAUGUGGACUGCAGCAGCCUUCUGAAAGGAGGCAGAGCCAGGUGGAGAAGCUGGAAG